CUAUUCCUAACUCCUAAUAUGAAUCUGGUAAACGCUUUCAAAUGAUGACGUUGAAUAUUACGAUACGGCUGGUAGCGAUAGCUGAACAAAUAAUAGGCCGAAUGAGCCCAUCUUCAGAUAAAGGUGUAAAGCCCAGUUUACUUACCACAUGACCUGACCUGUUCCGCUGUUCAGUCUGUUCACUUUCCCCGUUUCUGUUCGUAUUCUUUUUCUCUCCCUCUCCUUUCUCUCUAAAACCAAUUGCAGAAGAAACGAAAGCAGCAAUCGCCCUCCCCAUGGGAGAUUCCAACCCUACUCCUCGCACAUCAGUUCAUCAAGCUCUUGGUGGUGGCAAAGUUGCUGAUGUGCUAUUGUGGAGAAAAUGGAGUGGCGGAGUUGUGUUGCUAGUCUCGGCAACGACGUUGUGGUACUUAUUCGAAAGAGCUGGUUAUAAUUUCUUGUCUUUCGUGGCCAACGUCUUAUUGCUCCUUGUUGUUAUUCUCUUCUUCUGGGCCAAAUCUGCUUCCCUUCUCAACAGACCUUUGCCACCCCUUCCUAAUUUGGAAAUUUCUGAGAAAACUGUUGGGAGGGUUGCCGAUGAGUUACAAGUAUGGAUCAAUUAUGUAUUGUCGAUUGCACAUGACAUUGCGAUUGGCAGAAAUUUGAAACUUUUUCUUAAGGUUGCUGUUGGCUUGUGGUUAGUAUCAUACAUUGGUAGUCUCUUCAACUUCCUCACUCUGGUCUAUGUUGGAGUUAUUCUUAGCCUAUCAGUUCCUUUAAUAUAUGAUAAGUACCAGCACCACAUAGAUGAGAAGCUUUCUGUAACACACAGAAUCAUUCAAACGCAGUACAGGAAAAUUGAUGAAACAGUAUUGAGGAAGCUUCCAUUGCCUUCAAACAAGGAAAAGAAGAUGCGGUAGGUCCUGUUUCGAGGCCAGAUGAGUUGAGAUUAUGAAAUCACUGCGACUAAUAGUCUGUGAUCAUAAAUGGGUCUUCAUGUGGUCAAGUGUGACCAGGGGCAUAGGAUUUGGUUUUCAGGAUGUGAAGCUUUGAUAUCUUUUUGCUCGAUGCCAUCAAAUUUCCUAUACCAGUCGAGUAACCAAUCUUUAGGAGCGGACUAACCUUGAUAACUUUUAUUUUUGGGAGAAGAACUUUUUCUUUUUUCCGCCCUUGUGGGAACCCUAUAUUCUUGAUUUAAGUAAUGGCCUGCAAUUUAUACAUUUGUGGUUAUAUUUUACAUGCUCAUUUGGGUUGGACAAAGAUAAUCCUCCAAUGGAGGAAACUUGUUUAUGGUAAUGGAAUCCAAGCUUAUACAUUUCUUUUCUACGUGAGCUUUUCAUUAUACCAGUCUGCAGAAGAUGUAUCGUUCUACGUGAGCUUUUCCAGGAGACUUACAUGUAUAGUAAUCUGAGAUAAUGUUUAGAAUAAUAGCGUAACACUUUGUCAUGUUAACCAAAAACACAACUUCCUGA
This is an RNA transcript of Durio zibethinus, 1451 nucleotides long. It is a transcript of the gene named reticulon-like protein B11, with no coding region annotated. The record is from RefSeq and is a predicted model, not a curated record. NCBI's taxonomy places the organism in Eukaryota, Viridiplantae, Streptophyta, Magnoliopsida, Malvales, Malvaceae.